Molecule: ribosomal RNA, 253 nt
Filed under: uncultured bacterium
Lineage: Bacteria
Description: partial 16S ribosomal RNA
Rfam family: Bacterial small subunit ribosomal RNA
Source: RNAcentral
UACAGAGGGGGCAAGCGUUGUUCGGAAUUACUGGGCGUAAAGGGCGCGUAGGCGGCCAUCUAAGUCAGACGUGAAAUCCCCCGGCUUAACCUGGGAACUGCGUCUGAUACUGGACGGCUUGAGUAUGGGAGAGGGAUGUAGAAUUCCAGGUGUAGCGGUGAAAUGCGUAGAUAUCUGGAGGAAUACCGGUGGCGAAGGCGGCAUCCUGGACCAUUACUGACGCUGAGGCGCGAAAGCGUGGGGAGCAAACAGG